This is a long non-coding RNA of Brassica oleracea var. oleracea, 653 nucleotides long. RefSeq lists it as uncharacterized. Lineage: Eukaryota; Viridiplantae; Streptophyta; Magnoliopsida; Brassicales; Brassicaceae. The record is from RefSeq and is a predicted model, not a curated record. The transcript is spliced from 3 exons.
UCGCAACACCAACAUCUGCAUUGCGCUAGACCAUUCAUCUCCAAAGAAGCUCGCAAGUUCUUCUUGGUGACUAGCAAUCUAUUUUUCCAUGUUGGUGUUGAUAAACUCAAUCCAUGUUACCGGCCGUACUGCAGCUUUCCGUUCUUCUUGCGUUUCCAGUGACCCUUUGGAGACUCUUCUCUUACUUCGACAAACCCAGAAACCUCUUUCCACUUCUCUUUAUCCUGCUUAAGAUGAUGCCUGUGAUGUUAUACUAAUUUGGUGAUCUACUUUGAUUUCCGGGUUGUGAUACUCGUCUCCCUUCAGCUCUCCUUGGUGAUUAUCCUCCACCAUAUCAGCUGUUUAAGACGUUCUCCCCUCUCCGGUGAUUUGUUUCUUCUUUCCCCGACCUAGAUACUCGUCUCCCUUCAGUCUCCUUGGCUGUUUAAGACGUUUCUCAGCUGCUCCACCUUGAGCUAAAACCUCCGCCUCGCAUCUAUGCUCACAGGUAACUCUUUAAACUCUCCCUUGAGUUUUCCAUUAUCAAUAUAAACCUGAAACUUACUUGCUUCUCCUCCUCUGUCUCUGCGAGCUUGAGACAGCGUUGAUAAUGGAGUUACCUGGAGCGUCUUCCUUCUUAGGCGGAAUCGCAGCGAACCUGAAGCUCCUCUCCA